GACGGAGGGUGCAAGCGUUGCUCGGAAUCAUUGGGCGUAAAGGGUGCGUAGGCGGCCUGGCAAGUCUCUUGUGAAAGCCCGCGGCUCAACCGCGGAAGGGCAGGAGAAACGGCGAGGCUAGAGGGCCGGAAGGGAGAGUGGAAUUCCCGGUGUAGCGGUGAAAUGCGUAGAGAUCGGGAGGAACACCAGUGGCGAAAGCGACUCUCUGGACGGUCACUGACGCUGAGGCACGAAAGCGUGGGGAGCAAACAGGAUUAGAUACCCCAGUAGUCC
This 273-nucleotide ribosomal RNA is filed under the name uncultured bacterium. Its description in RNAcentral is "partial 16S ribosomal RNA". It matches the Rfam family "Bacterial small subunit ribosomal RNA", at positions 524 to 796 of the family's 1533-position model. The record is from RNAcentral.